This 253-nucleotide ribosomal RNA is filed under the name uncultured bacterium. Its description in RNAcentral is "partial 16S ribosomal RNA". It matches the Rfam family "Bacterial small subunit ribosomal RNA", at positions 524 to 776 of the family's 1533-position model. The record is from RNAcentral.
CACGUAGGGUCCGAGCGUUGUCCGGAAUUACUGGGCGUAAAGAGCUCGUAGGUGGUUUGUCGCGUUGUUCGUGAAAACUCACAGCUCAACUGUGGGCGUGCGGGCGAUACGGGCAGACUGGAGUACUGCAGGGGAGACUGGAAUUCCUGGUGUAGCGGUGGAAUGCGCAGAUAUCAGGAGGAACACCGGUGGCGAAGGCGGGUCUCUGGGCCGAAAUUGACGCUGAGGAGCGAAAGCGUGGGGAGCAAACAGG